CCCUUGAGGAGGCCUAAAAUGAAUGAACGCGGCUGUGCCUCCUGAGCAGGCUCACAGUUGUGGGUGGGGGACAGAAGGGUGUCCAUGCCUAAGGUCGACGGCGAUAAGACAGACGUUCUUCCCAGGAGGAGAUCAGUUCCAGAGACGGAGGUCUCGCUAUGUUGCCCAUACUGGUCUCAAAAUUCCUGGCCUCGAGUGAUCCUCCUGUCUCAGUCCCUGAAAUGCUGGGAUUACAGAACAGGUGGAGAGGUAUGAAGAACGAGGAACACUGCCCGGGGAGUUUCUUCCUCUGCAAAAUAAGGGAGUGUGUACUGAAUUACCGUUUCCAGCUCCAACAUCCAGGAUUUCAGCACUACCUGCAGAGUAGUGGGAGGAGAGAUAGAGGAAGAAGUGAAGAUAAGAAACCACUCGAAGCCGGUGUCUGGUGCUGGGACCGUGGUGGCUGGGACGGCAGCAGUCGUGCUGUCCAUCUGCUCUUCCGAGGGGUGGCACAUCCUAGCCUCUAUCUUUUCCCCAGAGAAGAUCCCCCUCGUCUGCUCUUCCCCCGUCUCAGCCUUUUAGUGUGUGAACAGUUCUGGUGUUACUCAGCAACGCUUUUGUUAGCGCCUUUACCAGCAAGUACUUGUUAAACACUUAAAUCUUACAAGUGGAAAGAAAAUUCCGUGGUAAAUUUAAGUACAAAAGUCAACCAAAAUUCUGAGUCUCGGACAAGACUGGUUAAAAAUCGUUCUACAAUGAAACUAAUAAAUUAAAUCAUAUAAAACUUUUA
RNAcentral lists this long non-coding RNA (769 nucleotides) under Homo sapiens (human). RNAcentral's name for it is "non-protein coding lnc-SYTL3-2:8". Lineage: Eukaryota; Metazoa; Chordata; Mammalia; Primates; Hominidae. The record is from RNAcentral.